UACGUAGGGUGCAAGCGUUAAUCGGAGUUACUGGGCGUAAAGCGUGCGCAGGCGGUUUUGUAAGUCUGUCGUGAAAUCCCCGGGCUCAACCUGGGAAUUGCGAUGGAGACUGCAAGGCUGGAGUCUGGCAGAGGGGGGUAGAAUUCCACGUGUAGCAGUGAAAUGCGUAGAGAUGUGGAGGAACACCGAUGGCGAAGGCAGCCCCCUGGGUCAAGACUGACGCUCAUGCACGAAAGCGUGGGGAGCAAACAGG
Molecule: ribosomal RNA, 253 nt
Filed under: uncultured bacterium
Lineage: Bacteria
Description: partial 16S ribosomal RNA
Rfam family: Bacterial small subunit ribosomal RNA
Source: RNAcentral